Molecule: ribosomal RNA, 253 nt
Filed under: uncultured bacterium
Lineage: Bacteria
Description: partial 16S ribosomal RNA
Rfam family: Bacterial small subunit ribosomal RNA
Source: RNAcentral
GACGAACCGUGCGAACGUUAUUCGGAAUCACUGGGCUUAAAGGGCGCGUAGGCGGGCCAUCAAGUCAGAGGUGAAAGCCCCCGGCUCAACCGGGGAAGUGCCUUUGAUACUGAUGGUCUCGAGGGGGAUAGGGGCGUGCGGAACUUCCGGUGGAGCGGUGAAAUGCGUAGAUAUCGGAAGGAACACCGGUGGCGAAAGCGGCGCGCUGGAUCCCUUCUGACGCUGAGGCGCGAAAGCGUGGGGAGCAAACAGG